CAACUCUAAAUGUUACUUCCUACAAUACAUUGCUUCUACAUUAGUUUACUUUUUUUAUUAUUUUACUAAUAUCUUACUCAAAAGCCAUGGACAGAGGUUUGCAUACUGGACUAAUGAGGCCAGAGCAUUGCUCCAAGGUUCACUGCAGCCGAUAUACAGGGUCCCAAAGGUCAGCAAGAGGGAACAUGAGGUUUCGAUUAGAAAAGGAUGACAGGUGCAUCAUAUUGGAGUUACCAACGUGUGUGCUUUCUGAAAUCCUAAAUGAAGUGGUACUACAGGAAGGAGAUAAGGCAUACUUAAGAUUGGCUCUUGUGUGUACCACCUUCAGGGACACUGUGUCCACUGACUCCUUCAGGAGACGGGCACAUUUUCAGUGGCUUGACAGUGUCGCUACAUGGAGCAGGUUUUCUGAGUCCUAAAGAAAAUAAUUCUACACCAUGUACACCGUGGACACCUGUCGUGAAUGUGGAAUGCUUUUCAAAAACUGCACACCUGGAUAUGUUGGAACAGGUCAAAGGUGUGUACUUGAAGCAGUUUACUCAGAAGACCCACAUCCAGGUUACUGCGAUCACUUUUGCCGCCAAAUGCAAUAGUGAGAACGGACACGUAUACUAACUGUUGGCAGACAACACUGAGCCAGCUGGGAGUUUUUCAAGCUGCAGGCCCCCGUGACAAUUUGUGGCUGGAAACUUGGGAUUUAAUUUUGAAUUCUCCAGUGUUAUUACAGACUGUUAAUUAAUUGUUUAUGACAAAAAAGAGAUGUCAUAUGUUUAAACAACCU
Esox lucius (northern pike) is the source of this 781-nucleotide long non-coding RNA. RefSeq lists it as uncharacterized. Lineage: Eukaryota; Metazoa; Chordata; Actinopteri; Esociformes; Esocidae. The transcript is spliced from 6 exons. The record is from RefSeq and is a predicted model, not a curated record.